CAAAUCUAAGAACCCUAACAAUGAGAAAGGACCCUAAGACAAAUGAAUAGAAACAUCAAGUUCUUACUUGGACCAAGAGGAGCUCAUGAACCUCAAGAUCUAAGUUUCCAAGCAAACAAACAACAAAAGUGAUUCCACCCUCUUGUUGUUACCUAGUUCCAAGUUUUUGAUUUGCCUCAAGGAAAGAGGACUUUGUCUUUCCAUG
Molecule: long non-coding RNA, 205 nt
Filed under: Capsicum annuum
Lineage: Eukaryota; Viridiplantae; Streptophyta; Magnoliopsida; Solanales; Solanaceae
Description: long non-coding RNA (CANN_LNC001104)
Source: RNAcentral